GAUGAACGCUGGCGGCGUGCCUAAUACAUGCAAGUCGAGCGAACAGAUGAGGAGCUUGCUCCUCUGACGUUAGCGGCGGACGGGUGAGUAACACGUGGAUAACCUACCUAUAAGACUGGGAUAACUUCGGGAAACCGGAGCUAAUACCGGAUAAUAUAUUGAACCGCAUGGUUCAAUAGUGAAAGACGGUUUUGCUGUCACUUAUAGAGGGAUCCCGGCCGCAUUAGGUAGUUGGGAAGGUAACGGCUUACCAAGGCAACGAGGCGUUACCGACCGGAGAGAGUGAUCGCCCACCUUGGAGCUUGGACGCGGUCCAGACUCCUGCGGGACGGCGCAGUAGGCAAUCUUCGGCAAUGGGGGAAAGCCUGACGGAGCAACGCCGAGUGAGUGAUAGCGGUCUUCGGAUCGUAAAGCUCUGUUAUUAGGGAAAAACAAAUGUGUAAGUAACUAUGCACGUCUUGACGGUACCUAGUCAGAAAGCAACGGCUAACUACGUG
This 497-nucleotide ribosomal RNA is filed under the name uncultured bacterium. RNAcentral describes it as "partial 16S ribosomal RNA". It matches the Rfam family "Bacterial small subunit ribosomal RNA", at positions 28 to 507 of the family's 1533-position model. The record is from RNAcentral.